Molecule: ribosomal RNA, 181 nt
Filed under: Lactococcus garvieae
Lineage: Bacteria; Bacillati; Bacillota; Bacilli; Lactobacillales; Streptococcaceae
Description: partial 16S ribosomal RNA
Rfam family: Bacterial small subunit ribosomal RNA
Source: RNAcentral
GUUUUCGGAUCGUAAAACUCUGUUGUUAGAGAAGAACGUUAAGUAGAGUGGAAAAUUACUUAAGUGACGGUAUCKAACCAGAAAGGGACGGCUAACUACGUGCCARCGGCCGCGGUAAUACGUAKGUCCCAAGCGUUGUCCGGAUUUAUUGGGCGUAAAGCGAGCGCAKGUGGUUUCUUAA